GUCUAAUUCAGUUUAAUUCUAAAAUGCAUACUUUUUUACUGUUAAUUUUCAGUAGAUAAUGUAAAGAUGGACCGUAAAUUUGAUUCAAAUCUAUACACAUACGUACUAGUACUUGAAAUGCCAAUUUCUGAAAUAUAACAAUUAUGACACUUUAAUUAAACAAAGUUUUUGUUUAACAAUAACUUAAAUCUUAACAAUUUAUGGUGACCAUAAUUUUUUUUGGUUGACAAUUCUUAUUUCAUUGCUGCAAGCACAAUUAUUAGACUUGUGGAUUACUAAGAAAACAAGACCUGUAUAGUUACUGUAUUUAGUUUACUGGUUCUUAACUUGAUGUAUAAAAUAUGAAUACAGGAUCUACGAGAAUAUCCACUGACAUCAGAGGGUGUUUUAUUUGGUAGGAAUUACGUUUUGACAUACAUCCUUUGUUUUAAAGGUUUAUAUUUACAUUUAAUGAACGAAGAAAAUAGUGUGGUUUUGUCAUAAUGAUUUGAUAGUUUAGUAAUUAUACAAACUUAUAGAAACAGAAAAGUUACACCAGUGUAUUAUAACCUACCUACUCUUAAGUCUGAGUUUACAAUGUAAUGUUUUAAUUGUUUAUAAUGUAUCAUCUUUUCCGUUACUUGCGGUUUUGUGUAACCUUUUGUAUAACUCCCCAACAUUAUUUUUGUUUUCCUGUACACAUUUACUUACAAGUUUACCUACCAACACUUUAUCCCCAAUCAAUAGUUCCAACUGACUAUGAAUAACAUACAGUGGAUUUUGUUUUAACUGAGAUUAACAUUUGCACUGAAUUAUAAACUAAUGUGUUGAAUUAAAA
RNAcentral lists this long non-coding RNA (817 nucleotides) under Mytilus galloprovincialis (Mediterranean mussel). Lineage: Eukaryota; Metazoa; Mollusca; Bivalvia; Mytilida; Mytilidae. The record is from RNAcentral.